UCUGGCGCCUUCGGUGUCCGAGUUGUAAUUUGAAGAUUGUAACCUUGGGGUUGGCUCUUGUCUAUGUUUCUUGGAACAGGACGUCACAGAGGGUGAGAAUCCCGUGCGAUGAGAUGCCCAAUUCUAUGUAAGGUGCUUUCGAAGAGUCGAGUUGUUUGGGAAUGCAGCUCUAAGUGGGUGGUAAAUUCCAUCUAAAGCUAAAUAUUGGCGAGAGACCGAUAGCGAACAAGUACAGUGAUGGAAAGAUGAAAAGAACUUUGAAAAGAGAGUGAAAAAGUACGUGAAAUUGUUGAAAGGGAAGGGUUUGAGAUCAGACUCGAUAUUUUGUGAGCCUUGCCUUCGUGGCGGGGUGACCCGCAGCUUAUCGGGCCAGCAUCGGUUUGGGCGGUAGGAUAAUGGCGUAGGAAUGUGACUUUACUUCGGUGAAGUGUUAUAGCCUGCGUUGAUGCUGCCUGCCUA
This 459-nucleotide ribosomal RNA is filed under the name Meyerozyma guilliermondii. RNAcentral describes it as "partial large subunit ribosomal RNA". It matches the Rfam family "Eukaryotic large subunit ribosomal RNA", at positions 121 to 585 of the family's 3401-position model. The record is from RNAcentral. Lineage: Eukaryota; Fungi; Ascomycota; Pichiomycetes; Serinales; Debaryomycetaceae.